GUGUAUUUCUUGUUUUGUAUAUAAAUAAAAUUCUCUUAAUUAGAAAUAAUAUUUCUUAUAUUACAGAAAAUAAAAGUUUCGCUAUUAUUAUUGUUCUUCAUAAAGGACUUUGGAAAAGCAUCUCUCAUCCUAGAGAUGAAGAUCUAUAGAGAUAGAUCUACGAGACUAUUUGGAUUUUUUUAGUCCAACAUACAUAGGGUACUUAUGAGUAAAAUUUAUUCUAUCAUAUAUACUAUAUACG
Molecule: long non-coding RNA, 241 nt
Filed under: Elaeis guineensis (African oil palm)
Lineage: Eukaryota; Viridiplantae; Streptophyta; Magnoliopsida; Arecales; Arecaceae
Description: long non-coding RNA (EGUI_LNC033672)
Source: RNAcentral